RNAcentral lists this unclassified non-coding RNA (324 nucleotides) under Hevea brasiliensis (rubber tree). The record is from RNAcentral. Lineage: Eukaryota; Viridiplantae; Streptophyta; Magnoliopsida; Malpighiales; Euphorbiaceae.
GCAACAAUAUGUAUAUGGAACUACACUGGACAGCAUUGCAAAAGUCACAGGGAUCGCGAAAUUUGAUCUUCAUGCUAAACGCGAAACGGGAAAGACGAAAAUUGAAGUUGGAGGAAAUGUUCAGGGCCUCUAUGACCUUGGACCUGGUAGAUUUGGUUCUGAAGCUAUCUUUGUUCCUCGCAUACCCGGCACCACUUCAGAAGAAGAUGAUGGCUACUUGAUAUUAUUCGUUCACGACGAGAAUACUGGAAAAUCUGCAGUGAAUGUCGUGGAUGCAAAAACUAUGUCAUCUGAGCCUGUUGCAGUUGUCGAAUUGCCACACAG